GACGAACGCUGGCGGCGUGCUUAACACAUGCAAGUCGAACGGAAAGGCCCUGCUUUUGUGGGGUGCUCGAGUGGCGAACGGGUGAGUAACACGUGAGUAACCUGCCCUUGACUUUGGGGUAACUUCAGGAAACUGGGGCUAAUACCGGAUAGGAGCUCCUGCUGCAUGGUGGGGGUUGGAAAGUUUCGGCGGUUGGGGAUGGACUCGCGGCUUAUCAGCUUGUUGGUGGGGUAGUGGCUUACCAAGGCUUUGACGGGUAGCCGGCCUGAGAGGGUGACCGGCCACAUUGGGAAUGAGAUACGGCCCAGACUCCUACGGGAGGCAGGAGUGGGGAAUAUUGCACAAUGGGCGGAAGCCUGAUGCAGCAACGCCGCGUGCGGGAUGACGGCCUUCGGGUUGUAAACCGCUUUCGCCUGUGACGAAGCGUGAGUGACGGUAAUGGGUAAAGAAGCACCGGCUAACUACGUG
RNAcentral lists this ribosomal RNA (468 nucleotides) under uncultured bacterium. RNAcentral's name for it is "partial 16S ribosomal RNA". It matches the Rfam family "Bacterial small subunit ribosomal RNA", at positions 28 to 507 of the family's 1533-position model. The record is from RNAcentral.